CCUACGGGAGGCAGCAGUGGGGAAUCUUGCGCAAUGGGCGAAAGCCUGACGCAGCCAUGCCGCGUGAAUGAUGAAGGUCUUAGGAUUGUAAAAUUCUUUCACCGAGGACGAUAAUGACGGUACUCGGAGAAGAAGCCCCGGCUAACUUCGUGCCAGCAGCCGCGGUAAUACGAAGGGGGCUAGCGUUGCUCGGAAUUACUGGGCGUAAAGGGAGCGUAGGCGGAUAGUUUAGUCAGAGGUGAAAGCCCAGGGCUCAACCUUGGAAUUGCCUUUGAUACUGGCUAUCUUGAGUACGGAAGAGGUAUGUGGAACUCCGAGUGUAGAGGUGAAAUUCGUAGAUAUUCGGAAGAACACCAGUGGCGAAGGCGACAUACUGGUCCGUUACUGACGCUGAGGCUCGAAAGCGUGGGGAGCAAACAGGAUUAGAUACCCUGGUAGUCCACGCUGUAAACGAUGAGUGCUAGUUGUCGGCAUGNAUGCAUGUCGGUGACGCAGCUACGCAUUAAGACGACUCCGCCGUCGGGGAGGUACGGUCGGUCGAAGUAAGUUAAAACGUUAAAAGGUAAAGUUAGUUACGGCGUUGAGACGNGCCGACGGACGACGACGAGGGAGGAGG
RNAcentral lists this ribosomal RNA (616 nucleotides) under uncultured bacterium. RNAcentral's name for it is "bacterial SSU rRNA". The stretch from base 1 to 518 matches the Rfam family "Bacterial small subunit ribosomal RNA", at positions 338 to 873 of the family's 1533-position model. The record is from RNAcentral.